Molecule: transfer RNA, 65 nt
Filed under: Dipodomys ordii (Ord's kangaroo rat)
Lineage: Eukaryota; Metazoa; Chordata; Mammalia; Rodentia; Heteromyidae
Rfam family: tRNA
About the family: Transfer RNA (tRNA) molecules are approximately 80 nucleotides in length. Their secondary structure includes four short double-helical elements and three loops (D, anti-codon, and T loops). Further hydrogen bonds mediate the characteristic L-shaped molecular structure. tRNAs have two regions of fundamental functional importance: the anti-codon, which is responsible for specific mRNA codon recognition, and the 3' end, to which the tRNAs corresponding amino acid is attached (by aminoacyl-tRNA synthetases). tRNAs cope with the degeneracy of the genetic code in two manners: having more than one tRNA (with a specific anti-codon) for a particular amino acid; and 'wobble' base-pairing, i.e. permitting non-standard base-pairing at the 3rd anti-codon position.
Source: Rfam by way of RNAcentral
GGUGGCUCAGUGGUAGAGUGCUUGCUUAGCAUGCAUGAGGCUCUGGGUUCAAUUCCUCAGCACCA